Molecule: transfer RNA, 71 nt
Filed under: Desulfurellaceae bacterium
Lineage: Bacteria; Pseudomonadati; Campylobacterota; Desulfurellia; Desulfurellales; Desulfurellaceae
Description: tRNA-OTHER
Rfam family: tRNA
About the family: Transfer RNA (tRNA) molecules are approximately 80 nucleotides in length.
Source: RNAcentral
GGGCGUAGUUCAAUGGAUAGAACAAUGCCUUGACUGAGCAUAAAAUGCGGGUUCGAUUCCCGCCGCCCCCA